RNAcentral lists this ribosomal RNA (396 nucleotides) under uncultured bacterium. RNAcentral's name for it is "partial 16S ribosomal RNA". It matches the Rfam family "Bacterial small subunit ribosomal RNA", at positions 523 to 918 of the family's 1533-position model. The record is from RNAcentral.
AUACGUAGGUGACAAGCGUUAUCCGGAUUUACUGGGCGUAAAGGGCGUGUAGGCGGUCUUGCAAGUCAGAUGUGAAAUCUCCGGGCUCAACCCGGAAAUUGCAUUUGAAACUGCAGGUCUUGAGUAUCGGAGAGGCAAGCGGAAUUCCUAGUGUAGCGGUGAAAUGCGUAGAUAUUAGGAGGAACACCAGUGGCGAAGGCGGCUUGCUGGACGACAACUGACGCUGAGGCGCGAAAGCGUGGGGAGCAAACAGGAUUAGAUACCCUGGUAGUCCACGCCCUAAACGAUGAAUACUAGGUGUGCGGGGACUGACCCCUUCCGUGCCGGAGUAAACACAAUAAGUAUUCCACCUGGGGAGUACGACCGCAAGGUUGAAACUCAAAUGAAUUGGCGGGG